CGGGUGAGUAACGCGUGAGGAACCUGCCUCAAAGAGGGGGACAACAGUUGGAAACGGCUGCUAAUACCGCAUAAGCCCACGGCUCGGCAUCGAGCAGAGGGAAAAGGAGCAAUCCGCUUUGAGAUGGCCUCGCGUCCGAUUAGCUAGUUGGUGAGGUAGUGGCCCACCAAGGCAACGAUCGGUAGCCGGACUGAGAGGUUGAACGGCCACAUUGGGACUGAGACACGGCCCAG
This 233-nucleotide ribosomal RNA is filed under the name uncultured bacterium. RNAcentral describes it as "partial 16S ribosomal RNA". It matches the Rfam family "Bacterial small subunit ribosomal RNA", at positions 103 to 334 of the family's 1533-position model. The record is from RNAcentral.